CAGGGCUUCUUGCAAAAGGACAGUUUGCACAGAGAAUAAUAACAUAUUUAUAUAUCAUAAAUAAAAACUACUUCUACAAUUUUAUACAGGUAUAGGAUUUAGAUUUUAGAGCCAAAGCCACUGCUAUACUUAUUGUCUGCUUCUUUAUGAGUAUUGCCACUAUCCAUAACUCAAAAUAAUAAAGGAUUUCUUCAUAAUAGGAAAUGGGCAGAACAACUCAAUUUUACAAAUUCCUGAAAAACAGAGAUUAUGGUAAAAACAAUGCUGCAUUUUGCUGAGUUUUACCUUGCAGUAUGUAUUUUGACAACCUUUAAAAAUCUGAUGUAAGUAACUGAAACUCAGUCUUUAUCAACAUUUUAGGAAUGUGGUGUAUGGACUCUGUAAAUUCCACCAGCGCCCAUAAAUUCCACAGAGUGGGGUUCCCUACAGAGUGCUUUGCAGCAGACUUGUAUCAGAGAACCGCUAUUUGCUAAAUCUUUUCUAAAUAUAAGUAACUUGAGCAUUUUCUGUUAGCAGUAGUUAAUUUGAAAAAUCUCAUUGUAAUGUGUCUUAAUUAGGAGACACCCAUUUUUUCCCAACUAUAAGCCAUUUUAGAUAUUGAACAAUCCAGGUUUACAGAGCUCUGACAUUAGGCUGAAAUGCAUUUUUCAAAUGAAGCAGAUUUCAUUACUAAAUCAAACAUUCCCACAAACAGAACAGAUAGCAGGAACACUAAUAACACAUUCAUAAGCCUUUCAUUAAAAGCUGACGUAACAAUUAUAACUAAAGUCAUGUGGUUAUUUAAAAAUACUUUUAUUUUCAGAGUAUAAAUAUUUUUUUCAGUGAAAUUAUAAUCAAUUAUCUCAGAAAAUUGUUGUCAAGCUGAUUUUCUUGUAGAAGUGAUAGAGAUUUCUGCAGUAUUUAUAUACUCCUAUACAUGAUAAAUGGUGUCAGUGCUGUCUUUUUUAUUAGCAUGUCUUUCCUACAGUAUUUAUGACAUUAGAGGAUUAAUAGUAUUGGCUGCAGUCAAGUCGAGUGCAGGGAGCACCUAUGUAUUUUAGUAGUUUAAAAUUAUUAACUAUUGCAUUUUAGGACAGACUCUUAGGCUAACAACUGAGUUUGCAUUUUCAAGUAUAUCCUUAAAAGAUUUUUUUCCAUUUGUGCCUACUAGUAAAGACUUCUGAUGGAAUUGUGUAUGUGUACUUCUUUGUUUUGCUGAAUAAGUGGUUAUCACAAUUAAUUCAAGCUAGUGAAGAUUUUGCCAGAAAAUUUAAAUCCAAUAAUUGAAAGGCCUUACAGAAAACUAUAACCACAUUGUUUUCUGUCAGUAACCACUAGUGAUUCAUGUAGGUCAUUGUUUAAGGUGGCUGCACUGAAAAUGUGCUUUUUACAUUAUUCAUUCUAGUCAAGCAGUUGCUCAUGGAUAAAUCUUAUGCUACAGGUAAAAAUCCAUUCUACGAUAGGGAGUAAGAGUGACAUUAAUAAUGGUGUGUAUGAAGAGUGUAAAUAUUGAGUGAAAAAGUAUCUUUGUAUAAUUGAAAUAUGAAAUCAAUUAUUUGUUGUGCAAAGUAUGAAAUAACACCUACAAGCAAUACUGCUGAACAUAAGUUUUAAGGACAAAAUAUAGUUUUCCUAGAGGAUUUCUGCAUUAUGCUACUCAUUUGACAAUGUUCUGCAGUUCAAAGCAAGCACCUGAGAUGUGUCUCUGGGAUUACAUCACAACAACUGUUUAUUUGGUCCAGCUACUGGAAUAAUGCAAAAAUAAUUUUCCAGUUAUCAGGCAACGUGUUUUUUUAUAAGAAAGUCAAGCAAUCUCCUUUCCUGAGAGCACAGCCCAGCACAGGCAGUGUUGGUGUGGAGGGAUGUACAGACACCCAGCCUUGGGACGCCGCUCUCACACGCAGUCUCAUUACAGUGCCAGCUCCCGCUGCAGCAAAGGAGCCUGCUUCAAUGAGGAAUUAAGUGUAGGAUUUAUGGUUAAUUUGUUGUGUCCUCUCCUCCUAAACCAACAGGAGUAUUCCAGAGUAAUGAGUACAAAGAAAUUGCCAGUAGUAAUACCUAGAAGGUCAUCAUCCUUAUUUAUUCAGUGUGUUAAUCCAGCUAUCAGAGUCUGUGUUCCAGAGAGAGCCUCCUCUGAGACAGGCACCAGCCAUUUUCAUCAACUAGCAUUUACAGUCUCCAAUGUUUAAUCACUCUGCAUUUAAUAGGAGAGAGGCCCUUCAUGUUCUGCACAGUUGUACGAAUUUGGAUUUUAGUUUUAUGAAUAUAGGAAAAAUGUUUCACUUUGGUAAAUAAUUAGGCAUGAAAAGGUUGGCAUGGAUAAUUCCUUCACUUUUGUACUGGUUUCACAUACUUUAGACUUACUAAUUCUCCAGAUUCUGCAAGAAUCACAGCCAAAAUCUCUCGAGUUUCAUGUUUUUGCCUGUCACCAGUACUAUUUGCUGUGUUUAAAUGCAACCAAAAUCAGCUUAGGCACACUGAAUGUGUUAAAGGGAAUUUGGUCUGGAUUUCCAGUUGAUUUAAAAGCAAAACAACCUAUUCAAAUCAAGACUCUUUUCAUAGAUUGAGAUUUGGUUUUUUAUUCCCACUGAUCUAUGUGACACUUGUAAUUUAUAAAAGUGAUUUUUAGGGUGAAAUAUAGAAAUAGGGACUAAGAAUAAAAUGUUCUGUCAAAAGAAUAUUUUCCCAUAUUUGAUUAGAUGCAAAAUGGUCUCACAAAUCUACUUAUUUGAAGGCAUGCUAAAUUUAUGAUUGUGUAGAUCAGUUUCUGAUUUCAAAGCCUUGUAGAGAUGUCAGGUAAUAGAAACACAUGUUUCUGAUGGGUUUUUUAUUACUUAUACCACAGGAAUUUUUACAACACAGUAUUUAGUAUAUACUUUUAUACUGUAUAAAGUUUUACCAAUAUGAUAAUAAUGACAUAAAAAUCUUAAUGCCAGUAAUUUUAGAGACAAUUACUGACUGUUUAGUCAUUUAGACUUUAUCUUUGAUCAUGUUACUUCCUGUGAGUUAAAUGUCUAUUUGCUUUAUUUUUUAUGUGAUAUUAGCCUUGUCUGGUUCAAUUUAAAAUGUAUUUAUAUGAGAAAAUUAUUUCUAAUGAUAAAUGCAUUAUGUUUUCUAUAUUCAUGCUCAAUUUUAUUUUAUCAUUUAGAGUAUCUGUAGGCUGCAGGAAUAGAUUUUGCAGUUUAUAAAGUGGUGUCAUAAAUAGAAUAGGCAGCCACAAUGAUACAAUAUUAGAAUACUCCUUUUUUUCAGGAUUUCUUCUGAUCUUGUAUGUAAGAAAAAUAAUAUGCUGACUUUUCAUUUUUUAAUCCUCUAAAGAACAUAGUGGCUUUAAGGAUAAUUAAUCCCUCUUUAUUUUGGGUGUCUAAAAUCUAGGCACCAUGAUGAACAAGAGGUUCUGUCAAAGAGUUAUUCACCCUCUCAUAUGACAAGCAUCUAAGGUAGGUAGGACUCAGAGAGGAAUUUGCUGAGUUUUGAGGGAUUUUACUCUGAAUCUGGAUUUACCUACAAAACCAGACACCAUCUUUAAGAGGGUUAAGCUGUUAAGUCACCCUACAAACAUUAAAAUGUGGGUUUUAUAGAAAAAGGGUAUUUCCUUUGCAUCUACUAAAGCAAACCAUAAGUGUAGGUAUACACAUAGGUAUAUAUAACUAAAUAGGUACUGGUUAGGUCUUGCUCCUUAAAUGAUCAUUUGUUGCCAUGAGGAAGAACCAGGUACAAUACAUUACCUGCAUUCUGAAAUGUUUGUUUAUUAUUUUAAUCACUUACCUUUAGACUUUGGCUAACAAUCUAAAUGGUUGUAAAUCUAAAAAUUAAGUAGAAACAGAUAUUUCAUUUAUAGGAGUACAAAUAAUGUACUUUCCAUAUUAUCAAAAAUCACUUAAUAAAGAUUUAUUAAAUUUUUAAAAAUUUGUUAUUUCACUAAGAACUAAACUAGUCAUGCUCUUAGGAAUUCUUUCUAAUACUCUCCUCGGUUUAUAUUCCUCUGUAAAGAACUUACCAUUCAUCUCUGUAGGAACUUUUUUCCACAGAGGAGGACUAUGUUCUUUCAGUUCCAUUCAUCUUAACAUUCCAUUUGCUGCUUUACUAGGAUGUCCUGGUUUAGAGCACAUAGGAUUAACAAAGCGUUCCAAGUAUUGUAAAAGGAAAGUAAUACAUUCACAAAAAUUCUCAUUAAAGUCCUUAUCUGCAAGUUACAAAAGACUGCACUUUUAAUGAUUAAAAACCACAUACUGAGGCAGCACAUACUUAGAGAAUUAUUCUGACAGUACUUGGGUUGCAUGGAUUUGGGAAGAUCCUCUCUUUCCUACCCCAUUCUUGUGUCUUGGAGCUCUUACUCCAGUAAUAAAGACUGAAUUAUUACUCAGGAACAUAAUAUGCAUUUAGCAAUGCCUAACUAACACAUCUCUUACCAAAACAAUUUCAAUAUGGAAAUGUACAGUUUUGAAUGUAGAGGAUCAAAUUAUAUUUGGGGUUGUACAAGGUGAUUAAGGCUACAAGUACAACUAAACAGCACCUUUGCAUCAAAGGCGCUAUUUAUUUCUUGCAAUUUAUAUAUUGCAAGAUUUAUAUCUGUACUAGGUGCAUUAUCUGAGCAGAGAUAAACACAGAGUUUGUUGGGAUGAAUUCCUGUGCAGUGCUCCUGGUAUACCACCUCAGAGCCAUUACUUCAGAACAGUUUCUCCACCUCCAAAUAAACAUAAUUCCCUACAACACAUUCUGAAAUGAGGAGUUUCAGAAUCAGGGCCUGCUCCCAAUAUCCAUCCUCCAAAAAAAAAAAGUUACCACUGACCUAUUGUUUGAAAUGGUCCUUGAAGUGCAUUUGUAGAUUAAUUUUGCAAUGAUGUGUGAGACCCAAUCUAACCUAAUAGAACCUGAUUUAAAAAGUAAGAAAAAAUCUGCUUUAGGCAGGAAAAUGAGUCUAAAGUGCUAUAUAAGUGAUCUUUUAUGAUAUAUGAGCUUUAUCCUACCCUAAACAUUAAAUCUGUCAGACCCAAUAUAAGACAAAUGUUACCAAAUAAUAUUCUCUUCCAUUUAAUCUUCAUUUUAUUAGCUCCUGGCAGCACAGACUAAGCAAAAUACUCUUAAACCUCAGAAGACAAAUGCUAUCUGUCUGUUUUCUGUGCUUGACAUAUGUGAUCUAUUCAUCUUAGGAAAUACCCUCAGCUGAGUUGUUGGUGCAAAAUUGAAAGACAGUUGAUUCUUUAAGCAGUGUGAUGCUCCUGUAAGAAGCCAGUCAGUUCAUUUGGGACAUCUCUUCUUGUUCCUGCAUUCUCACAGGUUACUACUUAUGAUACAGGCCUGCAUAAAUUCCCAUAAUGAUCCAUUGGUAUCCUGCUUGCUUCAUACCACAGUCAGGGUACAGUAAUUUCGUAAGGUUUUACAUGCUGAUUAUCACAAUACAGACAUUGACAAAACAGAUAUUUGCUGAUUGUCACAACACAAAGGUCUGCUGCUGUUAAAUAACACACACUUUGGAGGAAUUUCAUGGUACUGCAAGAAGCUUUUAACGUCACAAAAGAUAAAUUGAAAUGUGCAUCUUACAGACCAUCUUCCCAGACUGCUCACAUUCUGAAUCUCAGAACAGCUCUUAGCACCAGUUGCUUAAUAGUGGAACUGUCUCCUGUAUCAAGAGACCUUUAAUUUUAGUGUCCUGUUUUAUGAAGGCCAUAUCCCUCACCUGAAUAUACAUGUACAUGUCACUGUCUGGUCUGUUGUCUAAAUUUUAAUAUUCUAGAUUGGAGAAUCAGAAGAAGCCAGAGUAAGCAAUUAAACAUGUGAAUUUCAUAAAUAACUGAGUGAAAAAUAAUUUAUAAAAUUAUUAAACUUAUUAGUUAAUUGAUAAUAUCUAACAUGCCAAUAGCAAUAUUUCACUGUUAUCAGCCUCAGAGUAGUUCAAUUUCAAAAAUAGUUGAUUAAUAUUAAUAGGUGAAUAAAUAUGUUACCAAGAAAAUAUUUUCAAGAAAGCUAAGCAUCUGCACAUAAACAAUUUCUGCCCUGUAGCAGAAUGUGAUUCAGUGUCUAAGAAUACAGAGGAAAAAAAGCUCUUUCUUCUUCAAAACAGACAGGAGUGUGUUUACUUUCACCAAAUAUCCACAUGUGUGACAAUCUUGUGGAGCAUUCAGUUGCUGUAAAACUUUUUAUUCUUUUCCAUAAACAUCCUGCACAUGCAUCUCCUGUGACUGUGCCCUCAGUAAAGCAGGAAGUCUUGAAAGGCUGUCAGUGUGUUCAGUCGUAAGCUCCCAGUGGGAAGCCAAGGCAAAGGACAAAAUUCUUAUACAGUGGGCAAAGGUACCUACAUUCCACAGUGCCAAACAACCAUAAAAUCCAGAAGUUCCUAGUCCUUACCCUUGCCCUACUUCAGGCAUCUGGGAAUCAUUGAAAUCUUACAAAUAACUGAAGAUAUUACCUGACUGAUCACUGAUCACAUCUUCCUAAAGUGUACAUUUGAUCUUAUCCUAAUUUUCUUGUCCCUUUUACCCCAUAUUGUGAGGCAGGAUAUUAAAAUAACUUCUUAUGCCUUUGACAUAGUGCAAGAACAAUUGCUAGACAAAAUGUCAGAAUUUUCUUCUAAAUGUGUUAUUAUUAUUUCUCUAGAACUAUAAAAAUUGUCAUAUCAGAAAUGUCAAUGGUGCCUUAAAGUCUGAGUAGGGGAAAGGGACUAUAGAAUAGUAUGGUUACUUUUUUAGGGGGAAAAAAAUUAAAAAUUUUCUAAAAUAAUUCUUCAAUAAAAUAAAUUAUACAAAAAAGUCAAUAUAGUGUAGGAUAUAGAUCUCUUCCUGCGAACUAGGAAGGCAUUUUUGCUUAUGUUUUUAUAAUCUGUGAUUAAUAUACCCACAUCCAGGUUUUGUCAGUAAACUCUGAUCCUACAUCGCUGCUUUGUCUCUUUGUUUCUCCUUGUUUAUAUUAUACUGCAUUACCUUACAUGAAGGAAACUAAAAGUGACAUUUGGGAUGUAUGGUAGGAUUUUUAAUAUUUGUUUGAAAUCUUAGUUCAAAUACAGAUUUGGUGACAAUAUCAAGAGUCAAACAUUAUCAAUUUGUUGUAAGGCAUGUAGGCCUACUUCAGAAAAAUAAUCAGGCAAGAAUUUAAUUAGGCAAGUGCUAAAUCAAAUGACACUUAAAUACACUGUAUGUAGUUUUCAAUAACUACAACAGACAAAAACAUGGAGACAAGAUCUCAACAUCUACAGUUAGUGUGAAAAGAACUAAGCAGAAGUGACUAAGUCACUAAACCAAAAUCUGCCUGUUGUGCCACGACUUUAACAAGUUCCUUAUGAGUGUAGAAUUCAGACUGCUACAAUCUGUACCACCUGAAAAUACAGACCCACAGAGCAGUGGUGUAAGUCUACAAAGGAGGCAGACAUAUUGAGUAAUUUACUACAGACAGAGAGAAAAAUUGUCUGUAGCAAUGAAAGCUUCAGUCACUAAAAAUAGAAACCUUUUAUUCAGCAGAACUGUUUUUGGCAUUGACCAGUUAUUUUUCAUUUUUCAGCAGCACAUCAGAACUUUCUACCAUGUUUAUCUCUUGCUCAAAUGAACUAAUAAACUCCUGAUACAACUCUUAAUACCCCUUAUCAACUUGUCACGCACGGCAGUGUUUGCUAACUUACAACAAGAAAAUGUUUAUCUUUUUGCUACAGUCAAAGCAAGCAGCAGAACUGAAAGUUGAUGUAAGAAGCAGCUGGCAAGUGCCCUGAAGUCUAGAACUUAGCUUUACUCCUCUAGUUUUUUGUUCCCAUGCCUUUUCUCAGCCUAAAUUUUUCUGUAUUUCUCAUUAUAAAGAUUGGCAAUAAUUAUUUACAGCCUAAAAGUUACUUCAAAAUCAGAUCUGGAAGACUGCAGGCUCCAGGAGAACCUGCCACCUAGCAGGAAUAAACUCAGCCUGGGAGAUCCCUGGCCAUGUCUCCCUUCAUAGGAGGAGCCAUAGGCCAUGACUGCAUUCCCAAUGGACUGUGCCUUCCUCAGAAGCCUCUGUAAGAGGUACAGCCACACAAAGACCUUUUGAGUUGAGAAAGCAUAGAAUACUUGGCAACCCACAAUGUCUUCUUCAGGUUUUAACAUAAUUUCGUUUUGAGACUGUAUAAAAACAUGAUUUGAAUAUUUUGGUGCAUUUAAUUUAAAUAAAUAGAUCUAUGCAUUUGAUAAAUGGCCUGAUGUGUGUUUCCAAAAGCAGUAAAUAUUCUAAGUGAGGGUCACUUACAGCACUUACAGAAGUCAUUCAAGUUAGCUUGCAAAACAUCUGUCAUAUUUUCAGAGACAUAAAUGCUAAAUUCUUAUGUAAAAAACAAGUUAGUUGUACCAAAAAAAUGAAGCUCUCAUUCUUAAGCCAAAACAGAUCUCUCUUCUUAAUCCAAUGCAGUUAUCAGCAUGUCCCUUGGAUUUAUGACUUAUGACAUUUAUUUACCAACAGGUGGUUGCGUAUCUUGCCAUUUAUAUUUUAAGCAACAGUAAACACAACUAAAAAUAAUAUAAGACAAACAAAAUAAAACUCAGUGGUGUUUUUUAAAGUGUUUUUAGAGAAAAGCUGUAUUUAUAAGCUAGGUCUUCAAGUAGUUCUCACCAGGCCCAGCAAUACAGAAGAAUACUGCAAGAGCAAUAAGGAUUUUUAGGGGCAUUAUGAUAGUGUAAUGGAAACACAUCUGCCCCCAAAAGUCCCUCAUUUUCCCUGCGGUUAAAAGCCAUGCAGGAAGUGGUGAAUGCUGUGGAACAUCAAGAAUGAAACUAUAAAGAAAAGAUUUUUAAGUUAGAACAACCUUCCAACAACAUCUCAGGAUUUCAUAAUUUUCUGUUAGUCCACUGGAUAGAAAAACUGUAGUUUUUCAAGAAUCCUCUAAUUUAUUAGCUCUGGAUGUAUAAAAUAGUUCUGUCCAUGCAAUUAAGUGAAUUUUGAGGCAGCUACAUUAGAA
Molecule: long non-coding RNA, 8887 nt
Organism: Oenanthe melanoleuca
Lineage: Eukaryota; Metazoa; Chordata; Aves; Passeriformes; Muscicapidae
Exons: 3
Source: RefSeq, a predicted model, not a curated record